Molecule: long non-coding RNA, 1445 nt
Organism: Neopelma chrysocephalum (saffron-crested tyrant-manakin)
Lineage: Eukaryota; Metazoa; Chordata; Aves; Passeriformes; Pipridae
Exons: 6
Source: RefSeq, a predicted model, not a curated record
AGGGCUGAGCUAGUGGGAUGCCAGGAACCAGGAGGAGUUUUGGGAUGCCCAGGGGAGGAUUUGUGGCUGACAGGGGUGGCGUGGGUGGAUGCAGAUGACAGAUUAGCCAGGAGAGGGGGCACACACCCAUCCUGAGAUGGGAGCGUGGAUGUGCCAGUGUCUGCAGCAGGGCUGUGCCGAGUCACCAGCUGAGGGCUGUAAAUCUCCAGGAAACUUCAGCACAGGGACAUCAGAACAAAACUCUCCUUCCCUGCACUGCCCGCCUUCAUUUACAACACGACUGGAAACCCUAAAUGUACCUGCUUACAGAUUAAAAGGAAGACAAACCCUGGGAUUAGGUUAUCAGGUCAGCUCUCCUUCCAGAGGAGGCCGACAGGCACAGGGGAUCUCCUGAAGCUGGAGACACGAGCUCUGGGAGCUGCUGUCAAGCAUGUGGAGUGUCCUGGAGAGACGGGUCACAACCAGCUCCUGAGUCCUCUCCUCUCUCCUUGGUGAGACUCAAACAUUUCCCUGACCUCAUCUUCCUGCCAGUGGAUUUACUAAUCCUUUGCCUGUGGAAUGACAGAGUCCUGCUUCCCAGGUCCCAAGAGAGGUGAGAGCAAACACAUGGAGCAGCUCAGAAUAUGGAAUGAUGCAGCUCACAGGAACCUCAGGACUGCCCCACCACCUGCAGCAGGAUCCAUCCUGUCUAAGGUGCUACCCAAGCCUCUGAGCAGGAAAAUGAAUGAUGUAACUGGGGCAUGGAUGGGCCCAGUUCAGAUGGAGGGGACACACAGAGCCUGGGUCCUUCCAGCUGAAUCCCCUCUCUCAUGAUGGAAACUGGGAGGAAUAGAAGGAAAGAAAAAGCCAACAGUGAAAUAUCCCUUGAAAUAUUCUCCCAGCUGACAGCAAUUGCUGCCUCAGGGAUUUCUCAGCUCAGAGAUUAUAUAAAUGUUUCCAACAGCCCUUGAUGGACUUACCUGUCACCGAGGCCCCCAGAUGCUGUUCUAACCCCUACAGACUUCUGGCAGAUGCAAUAUCUCGUGGUGAUGAGCUGCACCGUUCAAAAAUGUACCUCAUUUUGUUCAUUUUGAUAAUUGGGUUUGAUGUCAUUUUAUGAGAAACAGAGAACAGUCAUCCACUAUUCAUCUUGUCCCCAGCACUCCUGGUUUUAUAGAGCUCCAUUGUGUUCUUCCUCAGUCAUCUCUGUGUUCCAGGAAAGUGCCCCUUGAUUUAAUUAUCCUUUAGAUGGAAACUAUCCUGUAUCCAUUCUAGGUCCCUUCUAUCUUUCUAGAGCUGGACUAAUUAAAAGGAAACAGUGGUCAAAUUACAUGUACAUCAUUGAUGUAUUCAGAGCUGCAAAGGUAUUUCCAAGGUCAUUCUCCAUCUCUUCCAUUCUUUGUCCCCAAAUUCCCUGAUGUAUUUUCCACCUCUGACUGUUAUCAAGUACUGAUCCAGUGUUUUCA